This 497-nucleotide ribosomal RNA is filed under the name uncultured bacterium. RNAcentral's name for it is "partial 16S ribosomal RNA". It matches the Rfam family "Bacterial small subunit ribosomal RNA", at positions 28 to 507 of the family's 1533-position model. The record is from RNAcentral.
GACGAACGCUGGCGGCGUGCCUAAUACAUGCAAGUUGAGCGCUGAAGGUUGGUACUUGUACCAACUGGAUGAGCAGCGAACGGGUGAGUAGCGCGUGGGGAAUCUGCCUUUGAGCGGGGGACAACAUUUGGAAACGAAUGCUAAUACCGCAUAAAAACUUUAAACACAAGUUUUAAGUUUGAAAGAUGCAAUUGCAUCACUCAAAGAUGAUCCCGCGUUGUAUUAGCUAGUUGGUGAGGUAAAGGCUCACCAAGGCGAUGAUACAUAGCCGACCUGAGAGGGUGAUCGGCCACAUUGGGACUGAGACACGGCCCAAACUCCUACGGGAGGCAGCAGUAGGGAAUCUUCGGCAAUGGACGAAAGUCUGACCGAGCAACGCCGCGUGAGUGAAGAAGGUUUUCGGAUCGUAAAACUCUGUUGGUAGAGAAGAACGUUGGUGAGAGUGGAAAGCUCAUCAAGUGACGGUAACUACACAGAAAGGGACGGCUAACUACGUG